GCACAUCCAUCCGGCUCCCUUAAUAGUAACCGAGGCACACCGUGUCCCAGUCCAGACCCCCCUCAGUUAGGACACCGGGUACUCCAGCGCGAUCAGUCCCGUAAGUGCGUCCCCCUCACCCGCUCGUCUCGCUGUGCCGUGCCGGUCCGGUCCGGUCGCUUCUCCCCCCCCUUGGAGAACAGUAUUCCCUGAGCUGGAUGAAUUAUUGGAGAGUUUUGAACAAGUGCGAGAAGAAAGCUGAGGCUCAGGAUCUGCCUCCUCGCUCCGUCCUGGGAAGACUCCAGAGCCAGAGUUGUGGACGAUAAUGGAGGGGACGUCCCUGUAUCUUCCUAUUGUUAUUUUACUCAUGCAAUGUUCCCCCUCCGUUCCUGUUAUCGUGUCGAGCAAGCAACACAAGGUGGAGGUGCGGGAGUUCUUAGAUGCGGUCCUGUCCUGCGAGUUCCGCACAGAGAGGGACCAGAACCCACGCAUCGAGUGGAAGAAGAAGGGGAAAGAUGUCUCCUUUGUGUACUUUGAGGGAAACUUCAAAGGUCCCUUUGAAGGGCGGGCAACCAUUGCAGGGGCGACAGUGACACUGAAAAGGGUGACCCAGGAGGAUGCUGGGGAGUACCGUUGUGAAAUAAGCGCUCCUCUUGACCCUGUAAAUCUGGGCGAGACUAAUGUCACCCUCAAAGUCCUGGUGCCCCCACACACCCCGUCCUGUGAAAUCCCCAGUUCAGCAGUGACAGGCUCAGUGGUGCAGCUGCGCUGUCGGGACCAGCAGAGCAUCCCGCCUGCUACAUACUCUUGGUACAAGGACGACCUGCUAAUGAGCCAGGCGCGGCACGCCAACGCCACCUAUCUAAUCAACCAAUACACAGGAAUACUGGAGUUUAAAACUGUGGCCAAAGAGGACACCGGCACAUACCGCUGCAAGGCUUCCAACGGGGUGGGACCAGCCAAGUCGUGUGAGGGCAAGCGCAUGACGAUAGAGGACGUCAACGUCACAGCCGUGGUGGCAGCCGUGGUGGUGGUCUGCCUGGUCAUCGUGGUCUUAGGAUGCGGGGGAUACCUCUUACAUCGCAAUGGCUUCUUCAGCCCAGGACACAGAGGAAGGUCAUUUUGGAUCUCCCAGUGUCAUGGGGCAGCCCACAUCAGCAGCCAAACCCUGCACAGAACUGAGGACACGUCCAAUGUCAACUACAUCCCUCCGCCCCAAGAAGUAAGUCCUUUUUUUCACCCUCUCUGCAUCUCCCCACUUCCCUCCUAUAUUAGGCACUCAGUGGUGUUGUUGACUUUAAGGAUAAGGCUAACAAAUGUUCAGUUUUUCUUAUCGUCAACAUAUAGUUUGCAGUCAAACCAACAAGGAACUCGUCCUAGUAAGUAUUGUGGGUGUAUCCAAAGCCUAAUAUCUUAUUCUUCUGUGACUUUUUUUCCUAUCUUUAUUUAAGAGUGUGAUACUAUUAAUUUGAGAGCAUGAUUUAUGUAAUUUAUGUUCAGAUUUGUGAAAUGAUCUCUAAAAACCUGCCCUCGCACUCAUUUAGCUUCUGUUUGUGCUUAAGUUUGCUCUGUUUCUUGUCAAACUGUAUGCUUGCAGUCAGAUAUAUUGUUGCUGGCACUGAUUUCCUGUGCUCCAAUCUGUGUAAGCAAUAUAUCUGAAUGCGAGCAUCUGAGAAGAAACAGAGCAAAUUUAAGUGCAAGCAGAGGCUACUUGAGUGCAAGGGCAGGGUUUUGAGAGAUAAUACAAAAUCUGAACAUUAAAUCAAUAAAUCAUGCUCUUAAAUGGAUAUACCAUGCUCUUAAAUAAAGAUAGGAGGGGGGGAAAAAAAACUAUAUACAGCGGGUGACACGUUCCUUCAGUCCACAGGCAACGUCUACCAUAGUUUGUUUAGAGACCACUCGGAAGAGUAAUAACAGUGGUAAGAGAGAGGUUACUUGUAUGGUAGAUGUCACUGUGCACGUGCAAGAACAUGGCUCCAUUUACUGUACUUUACUAGCUUGUUGUGCUACAUAUCACAAUCUCUUGGCUUUGUGCUGUCCUCUGUCUUAGGUACACCUGUGCAAUCUAAUUCAAUCCAAAACAACAGCUCUACUAUAGAUUCUGUAUUAUGAAGAUUAUACAUUUUCAGUUUUUUGAUGACAUUGUUAAAAAGGUGAUAAUUCUUCAUGUUUAUUAUUGAGGUUGUGCUACGUGGUGGUGGUGGUGGUGGGUGCAUUAUAUUGACUGGUGUUACUGGACUCAUGAUUUUCUCUCUCACCCUUAAUUAAGGAAAUGUCCAUAACAGUGGCCAGUGACUGUAAAGCCAAGAGGUUGUCCUAUGUAGUGCAAUAAGCUAGAGAACUCUGAAAGAGGAAUAUGAUGUGUAUCAGGCUUUGGCUACACACGCAAAUAGGAUGAUUUUAUUGUUGGUCUGGAUGGACAUAAGAUAUGUUGAUGAUAAGAGAAACAGUCAUUCACCAGCCAGUGUUAUCCAGGUCAUGUAUUUUAAAAUGGGCUAAGUUGAUGACACACACAUUUGUUUCACCCCUUGUCCAAAAAGCUUCAGUUCUGACUGAGCAGUGGCUAGUCACAGCUCUUUCACCUAUGUAGGGAGGUUUGACACCUUCAGGGUCAUUGAGGUCACAGGUGGGUCUGUAGUCCAGCUGGCUGUCAUGUUAGUGUUGUAGGCGCCAAUCAAGGUGUUAAUAGUGUUAAACUGCCUGGGAUGAAAGGACAGGAUUAUAAGUGGUGUGUAAAUUGUGUAAUCCAGUUUGACAAAGAUGGCUUCCUCUUCACAACCUCCAUCUUCCCUGUCCAAUAAUACAUUGCUGUCCAUUAAAGUGUCCCUUAUCCUUUAAGAUGUAGGUA
RNA transcript from Scomber scombrus (Atlantic mackerel), 2827 nucleotides. It is a transcript of the gene named junctional adhesion molecule 2a, with no coding region annotated. The record is from RefSeq and is a predicted model, not a curated record. NCBI's taxonomy places the organism in Eukaryota, Metazoa, Chordata, Actinopteri, Scombriformes, Scombridae. The transcript has 11 exons.